AUUUAAAUAAAUCUUUUAGUCCAAAAGUUUGCUUUCAUAAAUUACAUGUUUGCCUUCCUUUGAAGUAUUUAAAAUACAUAUAAACAACUCAUUUAAUCUGUUAAUGUCAUCUGUGUGUUUCCCGGAAGUUGUUAUAUUAUUAUCAUAUUUGUGACAACAACGCGUAAAACAUCGAAUGGUUAUUAUGUGCCUAUAGUAUACUUCUAGGACUGUAUCGCAUGCUCUUAGAUACAAAUGACAAAUUAUAAACUAUGUCACUCUGCAGAGUGAAACACUUAAUACGAACAAUGAUAUGUUUUAUGUAGCAGGGCUUAUAAAGGC
Molecule: long non-coding RNA, 321 nt
Filed under: Mytilus galloprovincialis (Mediterranean mussel)
Lineage: Eukaryota; Metazoa; Mollusca; Bivalvia; Mytilida; Mytilidae
Source: RNAcentral